This 433-nucleotide ribosomal RNA is filed under the name uncultured bacterium. Its description in RNAcentral is "partial 16S ribosomal RNA". It matches the Rfam family "Bacterial small subunit ribosomal RNA", at positions 29 to 507 of the family's 1533-position model. The record is from RNAcentral.
AGCGAACGCUGGCGGCAGGCUUAACACAUGCAAGUCGAGCGGGCCCUUCGGGGUCAGCGGCGGACGGGUGAGUAACGCGUGGGAACGUGCCUUCUGGUUCGGAAUAACUCAGGGAAACUUGAGCUAAUACCGGAUACGCCCUUUUGGGGAAAGGUUUACUGCCGGAAGAUCGGCCCGCGUCUGAUUAGCUAGUUGGUGGGGUAACGGCCUACCAAGGCGACGAUCAGAAGCUGGUCUGAGAGGAUGAUCAGCCACACUGGGACUGAGACACGGCCCAGACUCCUACGGGAGGCAGCAGUGGGGAAUAUUGGACAAUGGGCGCAAGCCUGAUCCAGCCAUGCCGCGUGAGUGAUGAAGGCCUUAGGGUUGUAAAGCUCUUUUAUCCGGGACGAUAAUGACGGUACCGGAGGAAUAAGCCCCGGCUAACUUCGUG